This 425-nucleotide ribosomal RNA is filed under the name uncultured bacterium. RNAcentral's name for it is "partial 16S ribosomal RNA". It matches the Rfam family "Bacterial small subunit ribosomal RNA", at positions 354 to 796 of the family's 1533-position model. The record is from RNAcentral.
GUGGGGAAUAUUGCACAAUGGGCGAAAGCCUGACGCAGCCAUGCCGCGUGAAUGAUGAAGGUCUUAGGAUUGUAAAAUUCUUUCACCGGGGACGAUAAUGACGGUACCCGGAGAAGAAGCUCCGGCUAACUUCGUGCCAGCAGCCGCGGUAAUACGAAGGGGGCUAGCGUUGCUCGGAAUUACUGGGCGUAAAGGGCGCGUAGGCGGACAGCUUAGUCAGAGGUGAAAGCCCAGGGCUCAACCUUGGAAUUGCCUUUGAUACUGGCUGUCUUGAGUUUGGGAGAGGUGAGUGGAACUCCGAGUGUAGAGGUGAAAUUCGUAGAUAUUCGGAAGAACACCAGUGGCGAAGGCGACUCACUGGCCCAAUACUGACGCUGAGGCGCGAAAGCGUGGGGAGCAAACAGGAUUAGAAACCCCUGUAGUCC